GACGAACGCUGGCGGCGUGCUUAACACAUGCAAGUCGAGCGGUAAGGCCCUUUCGGGGGUACACGAGCGGCGAACGGGUGAGUAACACGUGGGUGACCUGCCCUCAGCUCUGGGAUAAGCCUGGGAAACCGGGUCUAAUACCGGAUAUGACUCCAUGACGCAUGUUGUGGGGUGGAAAGCCUUGUGCGGCUGAGGAUGGGCCCGCGGCCUAUCAGCUUGCUGGUGGGGUGANGGCCUACCAAGGCGACGACGGGUAGCCGGCCUGAGAGGGCGACCGGCCACACUGGGACUGAGACACGGCCCAGACUCCUACGGGAGGCAGCAGUGGGGAAUCUUGCGCAAUGGGCGAAAGCCUGACGCAGCGACGCCGCGUGAGGGAUGACGGCCU
Molecule: ribosomal RNA, 388 nt
Filed under: uncultured bacterium
Lineage: Bacteria
Description: bacterial SSU rRNA
Rfam family: Bacterial small subunit ribosomal RNA
Source: RNAcentral